AAAUGCAAACCAUUUUACUGGUAGAAUACCUGCAUCCCUGGACACUUGAACAAGAAUCAUCUCUCAGGUCCAAUUCCACUGAGCCUUUUCAGCUCUAGCAUGAAUGUUAAACAUAUACUGCUUGACAGCAAUA
Long non-coding RNA from Zingiber officinale, 133 nucleotides. RefSeq lists it as uncharacterized. The transcript has 3 exons. The record is from RefSeq and is a predicted model, not a curated record. NCBI's taxonomy places the organism in Eukaryota, Viridiplantae, Streptophyta, Magnoliopsida, Zingiberales, Zingiberaceae.